Molecule: transfer RNA, 84 nt
Filed under: Sphaerisporangium rufum
Lineage: Bacteria; Bacillati; Actinomycetota; Actinomycetes; Streptosporangiales; Streptosporangiaceae
Description: tRNA-Gly
Rfam family: tRNA
About the family: Transfer RNA (tRNA) molecules are approximately 80 nucleotides in length. Their secondary structure includes four short double-helical elements and three loops (D, anti-codon, and T loops).
Source: RNAcentral
GGAGAGGUUCCCGAAGCGGCCUAACGGGGACCGGUUCCACCGGUCGGGCGAUGCCCGCGCAGGUUCGAAUCCUGCCCUCUCCGC